Molecule: unclassified non-coding RNA, 285 nt
Filed under: Hevea brasiliensis (rubber tree)
Lineage: Eukaryota; Viridiplantae; Streptophyta; Magnoliopsida; Malpighiales; Euphorbiaceae
Source: RNAcentral
GGCUGUUAACCAAUAAGUUUGAAUUAGACAAGACUCUGAACACAGCUUUAGAAAAUGUACCAAAAGAUCGAAAUGGGAAAAUGUCCCAGGAGUAUUUAAGGGUGGCAAUGGAUUCAGUGGCUCCAUCAGCUGGCCUACCUCCAAUUGGUGCUGUUGACGAGAUAGACAAGGUUAUAGAUGAAGGGCUUAAGAUGAUGAAUGCAGAUGAUGGGAAGCUGGUUAAAGAAGAUGAGUUCAAGGAGAUAUUGACUGAAAUCCUGGGAAGUGUUAUGUUGCAAUUAGAGG